RNAcentral lists this ribosomal RNA (464 nucleotides) under uncultured Klebsiella sp. Its description in RNAcentral is "bacterial SSU rRNA". It matches the Rfam family "Bacterial small subunit ribosomal RNA", at positions 338 to 795 of the family's 1533-position model. Lineage: Bacteria; Pseudomonadati; Pseudomonadota; Gammaproteobacteria; Enterobacterales; Enterobacteriaceae. The record is from RNAcentral.
CCUACGGGUGGCAGCAGUGGGGAAUAUUGCACAAUGGGCGCAAGCCUGAUGCAGCCAUGCCGCGUGUGUGAAGAAGGCCUUCGGGUUGUAAAGCACUUUCAGCGGGGCGGAAGGCGGUGAGGUUAAUAACCUCAUCGAUUGACGUUACCCGCAGAAGAAGCACCGGCUAACCCGUGCCAGCAGCCGCGGUAAUACGGAGGGUGCAAGCGUUAAUCAGAAUUACUGGGCGUAAAGCGCACGCAGGCGGUCUGUCAAGUCGGAUGUGAAAUCCCCGGGCUCAACCUGGGAACUGCAUUCGAAACUGGCAGGCUAGAGUCUUGUAGAGGGGGGUAGAAUUCCCGGUGUAGCGGUGAAAUCCGUAGAGAUCUGGAGGAAUACCGGUGGCGAAGGCGGCCACCUGGACAAAGACUGACGCUCAGGUGCGAAAGCGUGGGGAGCAAACAGGAUUAGAUACCCUUGUAGUC